AGACCCGAAACCCGGUGAUCUAGCCAUGGGCAGGUUGAAGGUUGGGUAACACUAACUGGAGGACCGAACCGACUAAUGUUGAAAAAUUAGCGGAUGACCUGUGGCUGGGGGUGAAAGGCCAAUCAAACCGGGAGAUAGCUGGUUCUCCCCGAAAGCUAUUUAGGUAGCGCCUCGUGAAUUCAUCUCCGGGGGUAGAGCACUGUUUCGGCUAGGGGGCCAUCCCGGCUUACCAACCCGAUGCAAACUGCGAAUACCGGAGAAUGUUAUCACGGGAGACACACGGCGGGUGCUAACGUCCGUCGUGAAGAGGGAAACAACCCAGACCGCCAGCUAAGGUCCCAAAGUCAUGGUUAAGUGGGAAACGAUGUGGGAAGGCCCAGACAGCCAGGAUGUUGGCUUAGAAGCAGCCAUCAUUUAAAGAAAGCGUAAUAGCUCACUGGUCGAGUCGGCCUGCGCGGAAGAUGUAACGGGGCUAAACCAUGCACCGAAGCUGCGGCAGCGAACGUAUCACCCAAGACAACUUUACGGAGUUGACGAUUGACGGAGCGAAGCGACGUCAAAGCGUUCAUUAAAGUCGAGUUGGCUUAGGGAUACGUUCGUUGGGUAGGGGAGCGUUCUGUAAGCCUGUGAAGGUGUGUCGUGAGGCAUGCUGGAGGUAUCAGAAGUGCGAAUGCUGACAUAAGUAACGAUAAAGCGGGUGAAAAGCCCGCUCGCCGGAAGACCAAGGGUUCCUGUCCAACGUUAAUCGGGGCAGGGUGAGUCGACCCCUAAGGCGAGGCCGAAAGGCGUAGUCGAUGGGAAACGGGUUAAUAUUCCCGUACUUGGUGUUACUGCGAAGGGGGGACGGAGAAGGCUAUGUUGGCCGGGCGACGGUUGUCCCGGUUUAAGGGUGUAGGUGUGUGUUCCAGGUAAAUCCGGUUCACUUUAACACUGAGGCGUGACGACGAGGCACUACGGUGCUGAAGCAACAAAUGCCCUGCUUCCAGGAAAAGCCUCUAAGCAUCAGGUAACAUCAAAUCGUACCCCAAACCGACACAGGUGGUCAGGUAGAGAAUACCAAGGCGCUUGAGAGAACUCGGGUGAAGGAACUAG
This 1092-nucleotide ribosomal RNA is filed under the name Salmonella enterica subsp. enterica serovar Typhimurium str. SL1344. RNAcentral's name for it is "partial 23S ribosomal RNA". It matches the Rfam family "Bacterial large subunit ribosomal RNA", at positions 711 to 1716 of the family's 2925-position model. The record is from RNAcentral. Lineage: Bacteria; Pseudomonadati; Pseudomonadota; Gammaproteobacteria; Enterobacterales; Enterobacteriaceae.